This 495-nucleotide ribosomal RNA is filed under the name uncultured bacterium. Its description in RNAcentral is "partial 16S ribosomal RNA". It matches the Rfam family "Bacterial small subunit ribosomal RNA", at positions 28 to 507 of the family's 1533-position model. The record is from RNAcentral.
GAUGAACGCUGGCGGCGUGCCUAAUACAUGCAAGUAGAACGCUGAAGGAGGAGCUUGCUCUUCUGGAUGAGUUGCGAACGGGUGAGUAACGCGUAGGUAACCUGCCUGGUAGCGGGGGAUAACUAUUGGAAACGAUAGCUAAUACCGCAUGACAACAGUUAUUGCAUGAUAACUGUUUAAAAGGGGCAACUGCUCCACUACCAGAUGGACCUGCGGUGUAUUAGCUAGUUGGUGAGGUAACGGCUCACCAAGGCGACGAUACAUAGCCGACCUGAGAGGGUGAUCGGCCACACUGGGAGUGAGACACGGCCCAGACUCAUACGGGAGGCAGCAGUAGGGAAUCUUCGGCAAUGGACGGAAGUCUGACCGAGAAACGCCGCGUGAGUGAAGAAGGUUUUCGGAUCGUAAAGCUCGGUUGUAAGAGAAGAACGAGUGUGAGAGUGGAAAGUUCACACUGUGACGGUAACUGACCAGAAAGGGACGGCUAACUACGUG